This 515-nucleotide ribosomal RNA is filed under the name uncultured bacterium. RNAcentral describes it as "partial 16S ribosomal RNA". It matches the Rfam family "Bacterial small subunit ribosomal RNA", at positions 28 to 523 of the family's 1533-position model. The record is from RNAcentral.
GAUGAACGCUGGCGGCGUGCCUAAUACAUGCAAAUCGAGCGAAUGGAUUAAGAGCUUGCUCUUAUGAAGUUAGCGGCGGACGGGUGAGUAACACGUGGGUAACCUGCCCAUAAGACUGGGAUAACUCCGGGAAACCGGGGCUAAUACCGGAUACCAUUUUGAACCGCAUGGUUCGAAAUUGAAAGGCGGCUUCGGCUGUCACUUAUGGAUGGACCCGCGUCGCAUUAGCUAGUUGGGGAGGUAACGGCUCACCAAGGCAACGAUGCGUAGCCGACCUGAGAGGGUGAUCGGCCACACUGGGACUGAGACACGGCCCAGACUCCUACGGGAGGCAGCAGUAGGGAAUCUUCCGCAAUGGACGAAGGUCUGACGGAGCAACGCCGCGUGAGUGAUGAAGGCUUUCGGGUCGUAAAACUCUGUUGUUAGGGAAGAACAAGUGCUAGUUGAAUAAGCUGGCACCUUGACGGUACCUAACCAGAAAGCCACGGCUAACUACGUGCCAGCAGCCGCUGUAA